This 103-nucleotide ribosomal RNA is filed under the name uncultured bacterium. RNAcentral's name for it is "partial 16S ribosomal RNA". It matches the Rfam family "Bacterial small subunit ribosomal RNA", at positions 408 to 508 of the family's 1533-position model. The record is from RNAcentral.
AUGAAGGUCCUCUGGAUUGUAAACUUCUUUUAUUUGGGACGAAAAAAGGGAAUUCUUUCCCUCCUGACGGUACCAGAUGAAUAAGCACCGGCUAACUCCGUGC